Molecule: ribosomal RNA, 928 nt
Filed under: [Ptychogaster] rubescens
Lineage: Eukaryota; Fungi; Basidiomycota; Agaricomycetes; Polyporales; Postiaceae
Description: LSU rRNA
Rfam family: Eukaryotic large subunit ribosomal RNA
Source: RNAcentral
AUAAGCGGAGGAAAAGAAACUAACAAGGAUUCCCCUAGUAACUGCGAGUGAAGCGGGAAAAGCUCCAAAUUUAAAAUCUGGCGGUCCUUGCGGCCGUCCGAGUUGUAAUCUGGAGAAGUGCUUUCCGCGCUGGACCGUGUACAAGUCUCUUGGAACAGAGCGUCGUAGAGGGUGAGAAUCCCGUCUUUGACACGGACUACCAGUGCUUUGUGAUGCGCUCUCAAAGAGUCGAGUUGUUUGGGAAUGCAGCUCAAAAUGGGUGGUAAAUUCCAUCUAAAGCUAAAUAUUGGCGAGAGACCGAUAGCGAACAAGUACCGUGAGGGAAAGAUGAAAAGAACUUUGGAAAGAGAGUUAAACAGUACGUGAAAUUGCUGAAAGGGAAACGCUUGAAGUCAGUCGCGUUGGCCGGGACUCAGCCUUGCUUCCGCUUGGUUUAUUUUCUGGUCGACGGGUCAGCAUCAGUUUUGAUCGUCGGACAAUGGCUGGGGGAAUGUGGCAUCUUCGGAUGUGUUAUAGCCCUCGGUCGCAUACGAUGGUUGGGACUGAGGAUCUCAGCACACCUUUAUGGUCGGGGUUCGCCCACGUUUGUGCUUAGGAUGCUGGCAUAAUGGCUUUAAACGACCCGUCUUGAAACACGGACCAAGGAGUCUAACAUGCAUGCGAGUGUUUGGGUGGAAAACCCGAGCGCGUAAUGAAAGUGAAAGUUGAGACCUCUGUCGUGGAGGGCAUCGACGCCCGGACCAGACCUUCUGUGACGGCCCUGCGGUAGAGCAUGUAUGUUGGGACCCGAAAGAUGGUGAACUAUGCCUGAAUAGGGUGAAGCCAGAGGAAACUCUGGUGGAGGCUCGUAGCGAUUCUGACGUGCAAAUCGAUCGUCAAAUUUGGGUAUAGGGGCGAAAGACUAAUCGAACCAUCUAGUAGCUGGUUC